AGAGUUUGAUCCUGGCUCAGAUUGAACGCUGGCGGCAUGCUUUACACAUGCAAGUCGAACGCGAAAGCGGGGCAACCCGCAAGUAGAGUGGCGAACGGGUGAGUAAUACAUCGGAACAUGUCCAGUAGCGGGGGAUAACCUGUCGAAAGAUAGGCUAAUACCGCAUACGAUCUACGGAUGAAAGCAGGGGACCGCAAGGCCUUGCACUAUUGGAGUGGCCGAUGUCGGAUUAGCUAGUUGGUGAGGUAAAGGCUUACCAAGGCGACGAUCCGUAGCUGGUCUGAGAGGACGAUCAGCCACACUGGAACUGAGACACGGUCCAGACUCCUACGGGAGGCAGCAGUGGGGAAUUUUGGACAAUGGGCGCAAGCCUGAUCCAGCCAUGCCGCGUGAGUGAAGAAGGCCUUCGGGUUGUAAAGCUCUUUCGGCGGGGACGAAACGGUUCGCACCAAUACUGCGGACUAAUGACGGUACCCGCAUAAGAAGCACCGGCUAACUACGUGCCAGCAGCCGCGGUAAUACGUAGGGUGCAGGCGUUAAUCGGAAUUACUGGGCGUAAAGCGUGCGCAGGCGGUCUGUUAAGACAGGUGUGAAAUCCCCGAGCUCAACUUGGGAAUUGCGCUUGUAACUGGCAGGCUAGAGUGUGGCAGAGGGGGGUGGAAUUCCAGGUGUAGCAGUGAAAUGCGUAGAUAUCUGGAGGAACACCGAUGGCGAAGGCAGCCCCCUGGGUUAACACUGACGCUCAGCACGAAAGCGUGGGGAGCAAACAGGAUUAGAUACCCUGGUAGUCCACGCCCUAA
RNAcentral lists this ribosomal RNA (800 nucleotides) under uncultured bacterium. Its description in RNAcentral is "bacterial SSU rRNA". It matches the Rfam family "Bacterial small subunit ribosomal RNA", at positions 8 to 805 of the family's 1533-position model. The record is from RNAcentral.